CUCUCAGGCUGGUGGAAGGGGUGACAGAGUGGGUCACCAAUGGCAGUCACUCCGCUCAUUCAGAAUGACCUUGGGGACACACCGGAAGUGCCCAAAAACUUCUGCCAGGGUGAGCGGCACCUGGAGGG
This 128-nucleotide long non-coding RNA is filed under the name Carlito syrichta (Philippine tarsier). RNAcentral's name for it is "Rhabdomyosarcoma 2 associated transcript conserved region 2 (ENSTSYG00000036986.1)". It matches the Rfam family "Rhabdomyosarcoma 2 associated transcript conserved region 2". Lineage: Eukaryota; Metazoa; Chordata; Mammalia; Primates; Tarsiidae. The record is from RNAcentral.